Long non-coding RNA from Labeo rohita (rohu), 1562 nucleotides. RefSeq lists it as uncharacterized. The record is from RefSeq and is a predicted model, not a curated record. NCBI's taxonomy places the organism in Eukaryota, Metazoa, Chordata, Actinopteri, Cypriniformes, Cyprinidae. The transcript has 2 exons.
UCGUAAAAUCAUAUAAAACUGUAUUAAAUAACUUUUCUUAAAUACUAAAACACAAAGAAAUUAUGUAAACUAACAUAUUUCACAUUUUAAUUUGUCCCCUUAACAGUAGUUGUUUUUUUAGAAUAACAUACAGUUCUGACUUCUGGAAUCACAAAAUCAAUCAGUUAAUUACUUGUACCUAUUGUCUCCGUCAGUGAAAAAAAGUUCAAAAACAAGCUGUUUUGUCAAAAAUGUCACAGGAAAUAUUUUACAUAGGUGGCCUCGGAGACAAAAAGGUUAAAAACCACAGAAAUACCACAACUAUAAUCCCCAUAUCAAACAUUUAUUUCCGAGGUGCCUUACGGUGGCGUCAGAACAUAAGAGAUAUUAAACGCAGUUCACUUCGGGUAUGCCAUGUCAAAAUCAGUCGACUUUUUAAACCUUCUACAUGACAUGAGUCAUUCCGCACUAAAGAAAGUGGUGAACUUUGAGCGUCAGGACCCGGAAGCGUGUUAUUUUAUUGUCACAUGGCUUGAAGAUUUCAAUAACAACAAAAAAUGGCGACAAUCACGUUGUUCGCUGUAAGGCUUGCUGCGUCAUUAAAAAUAUUCACGUAAACAAGGGAGUUCAGCGUUGAAAAUGCAGCCGCUAGAGGAAUGUUAGGCAGAUGUUUUGUCAUUAUUUGGCAGGCGUUUCCACUGUCCUGAGAUGGCAAACACGACGCGCUGAUGGAGUUGUUUACAAGAAGAGAUUCGCACGGAGGGCGGGGACGUUGAGGGCGUGGUCUGCGGGAUGAUGUGGGAGGAGCCAAACGCCUGCCAAAAUACGAGAGCAAAGUAUAGAAGGUGGAGUCAGAGUUACCAUAACAAGUCUGUCGUCACAGGGGUGGUGUGUAUAAAUAAUUAAAGCUCAAAACGAAGGUAUUGAAUCUCAUGCUGUCAGAAAGGGAGCUGACAUCUAAUGCAGCGUGUCUAGUAAAAAAAAGGCUUUUCAAGUUCAAUCAUGAUAUUGUAAUUUUUACUUAGUGUAAGUUAUAUUUAACAACUGCAUCUGCUAAUUCCUAUAACGUACACAGAUGGAAACAUCAGGUUUGUUUAGCCUAUAUUACAUAUGAAUUGUUAUAUCUUAAAUGCAGUAAACAUCACACUCUGAUAUAUAAAGUGAUAUAUAAUUAUCCCUGAAUGAACGUGGACAAGAAGAUGUGUGAAGAACUACCGCCCUGGCUCUGCUUGAUUUGACAGGCUGCCCUGGUUCAGUUAUCACAGUGCUGAUGCUGUCCAUCUUAAAGGUACAGUACUGUGAUAACUGAAGGAUGGCUGCCAUCUUGACAUCUAGUCUCACAAAAAGAAUUUGUUACAGGUGAGAAAGAGGUAAAUAAAAGCAAAAAAUAUCAAGAAAACAAAACUGUUGAAUAUAGAGAAAUCUGUACUGAAUUCUGAUUAAAUAAUAAACUGUGUCAAACUGUUGGUUGCCUUCUAAUUUUAUGUAUGAAUUUAUGCACAUUAUGGUAUCUUGUCAUCAGUAUGUUAAAUUAUUAUUAUUAUUGACAAUGUGGAUGUUUUGUGAAAUAUAUGUAUCAUAAA